CCUACGGGGGGCAGCAGUGAGGAAUAUUGGUCAAUGGGCGCAAGCCUGAACCAGCCAAGUAGCGUGAAGGAUGACUGCCCUACAGGUUGUAAACUUCUUUUAUAAAGGAAUAAAGUGAGUCACGUGUGCCUUUUUGCAUGUACUUUAUGAAUAAGGAUCGGCUAACUCCGUGCCAGCAGCCGCGGUAAUACGGAGGAUCCGAGCGUUAUCCGGAUUUAUUGGGUUUAAAGGGAGCGUAGAUGGGUUGUUAAGUCAGUUGUGAAAGUUUCGGGCUCAACCGUAAAAUUGCAGUUGAUACUGGCAGCCUUGAGUACAGUUGAGGUAGGCGGAAUUCGUGGUGUAGCGGUGAAAUGCUUAGAUAUCACGAAGAACCCCGAUUGCGAAGGCAGCUUACUAAACUGCCACUGACAUUGAUGCUCGAAAGUGUGGGUAUCAAACAGGAUUAGAUACCCUUGUAGUC
Molecule: ribosomal RNA, 460 nt
Filed under: uncultured bacterium
Lineage: Bacteria
Description: partial 16S ribosomal RNA
Rfam family: Bacterial small subunit ribosomal RNA
Source: RNAcentral